RNAcentral lists this ribosomal RNA (233 nucleotides) under uncultured bacterium. RNAcentral describes it as "partial 16S ribosomal RNA". It matches the Rfam family "Bacterial small subunit ribosomal RNA", at positions 15 to 225 of the family's 1533-position model. The record is from RNAcentral.
GAUCAUGGCUCAGGACGAACGCUGGCGGCGUGCUUAACACAUGCAAGUCGAACGAAGAGCGAUGGAAGCUUGCUUCUAUCAAUCUUAGUGGCGAACGGGUGAGUAACGCGUAAUCAACCUGCCCUUCAGAGGGGGACAACAGUUGGAAACGACUGCUAAUACCGCAUACGAUCUAAUCUCGGCAUCGAGGAAAGAUGAAAGGUGGCCUCUAUGUAUAAGCUAUCACUGAAGGG